AACUUCUACGUGGACCAGAAUUAUGCUCCAUCUUCAGGACCCAGAUCCAGAAGUUUGCAAUGCCUGUCGAAGCACUUUCCUGCUCUGCACUCCAUUCCUGGGCCUGCAGAAGCUGCAAACACAAGUUGCUCUGAACACUGAGAAGAGUGCAGAAGAGCUCCAGGAAGCUGUCUGCAGUCACCUGGCCAGAGACAUGCCAGAGCUUCUGGAAAGCGUCUAUGACACCCUCCAGACCUACUUCUGGAGCUCGUGUUGGGGGAUGCGGACUGCA
Dromaius novaehollandiae (emu) is the source of this 271-nucleotide long non-coding RNA. RefSeq lists it as uncharacterized. The record is from RefSeq and is a predicted model, not a curated record. NCBI's taxonomy places the organism in Eukaryota, Metazoa, Chordata, Aves, Casuariiformes, Dromaiidae. The transcript is spliced from 3 exons.